Molecule: long non-coding RNA, 577 nt
Organism: Humulus lupulus (European hop)
Lineage: Eukaryota; Viridiplantae; Streptophyta; Magnoliopsida; Rosales; Cannabaceae
Exons: 2
Source: RefSeq, a predicted model, not a curated record
UUAAUAUAUAUUUUUGUUUUUCAGCUUUUCUUUAUUUCCCCCCCAGCCGUUUACUAUUCUUCUCCUCUCCCCCAGUCGGGAUUCCAAGCCUCCAACCUCCAAACAGUCGUUGAUCUACCACCUCCGAACACCCAGGUUGUCGACCAUUUGACCACUUCCCAGCGACCUUCUCUUGCCUUCAAUCCUCGUCACACUCUCCGUCUGGAUCGAAGCCAUGCGUUGCCUCCGACUUCAAGCUCAUCUCUGUUGGGUCGAUUGAAUUUGAGCGGCGCCUCUACUUGCUGGGAAUGUUGCCUCCCUCAUCGUCGCCUCCGCUAGCCAGGUAAAGGCAAGGGUAAGAUGGACCAACCAUGAGUUGGAGCGCUCUGGGGGCGGGGUGUGCAUUGUCAGCUUCUCGUCCGCCACGACCGAGAGAUUAUACAAGAACAAAAAACCUAAAAUGUGAAUUUUUCCAUUACAAUGGCCUUUGAUGAUACAUAACUUUUGGAAGUUUGUAAAUUUGUCCUUUAAUCCCUAUUUUUGGGAUCCCAUAUUCUAAACAUUUAUUUUAAUGAAAAUUAUCUGCUUAUGACCAAAA